UCGAGAAUCUUUCGCAAUGGGCGCAAGCCUGACGAAGCGACGCCGUGUGAGCGAAGAAGGCCUUCGGGUUGUAAAGCUCUUUCGCUAGGGAACAAGAAAGGCGAAUGAAUAAUUCGCCAAUUUGAUGGUACUUGGUAAAGAAGCACCGGCUAACUCCGUGCCAGCAGCUGCGGUAAUACGGAGGGUGCAAGCAUUGAUCGGAAUUACUGGGCGUAAAGGGCGCGUAGGCGGUUGAGAAAGUCAGAUGUGAAAUUCCGGGGCUCAACCCCGGAGCUGCGUUUGAAACUUCUCGGCUAGAGUUCAGUUAGGGAAAACGGAAUUCCACGUGUAGCGGUGAAAUGCGUAGAUAUGUGGAAGAACACCGGUGGUGAAGACGGUUUUCUGGGCUGAUACUGACGCUGAGGCGCGAAAGCAAGGGAAGCAAACAGG
Molecule: ribosomal RNA, 429 nt
Filed under: uncultured bacterium
Lineage: Bacteria
Description: bacterial SSU rRNA
Rfam family: Bacterial small subunit ribosomal RNA
Source: RNAcentral